Molecule: small nuclear RNA, 104 nt
Filed under: Meriones unguiculatus (Mongolian gerbil)
Lineage: Eukaryota; Metazoa; Chordata; Mammalia; Rodentia; Muridae
Source: RNAcentral
AUGCUCGCUUUGGCAGCACAUAUACUAAAAUUGGAAUGAUGCUGAGAUUAUCAUGGCCCGUGCACAAGGAUGACAUGCAAAUUCUUGUAGCAUUCCAUAUUUUU